AUUGAACGCUGGCGGCAGGCCUAACACAUGCAAGUCGAACGAGUGGCGGACGGGUGAGUAAUGUCUGGGAAACUGCCUGAUGGAGGGGGAUAACUACUGGAAACGGUAGCUAAUACCGCAUACCAUCGGAUGUGCCCAGAUGGGAUUAGCUAGUAGGUGGGGUAAAGGCUCACCUGGGCGACGAUCCCUAGCUGGUCUGAGAGGAUGACCGGCCACACAGAAACUGAGCCACGGUCCAGACGCCUACGGGAGGCAGCAGGGGGGAAUAUUGAACACUGGGCGAAAGCCUGAUGCAGCCAUGCCGCGUGUAUGAAGAAGGCCUUCGGGUGGUAAAGUACUUUCAGCGGGGAGGCGUUACCCGCAGAAGAAGCACCGGCUAACGCCGUGCCAGCAGCCGCGGUAAUUC
This 406-nucleotide ribosomal RNA is filed under the name uncultured bacterium. RNAcentral describes it as "partial 16S ribosomal RNA". It matches the Rfam family "Bacterial small subunit ribosomal RNA", at positions 29 to 526 of the family's 1533-position model. The record is from RNAcentral.